CCGAAGUCAGGUGCUCAACCAACUGAGCCACCCAGGCGCCCCUGGAAACAGCCCUAACAACACUUUGAUUUGCUCAGUAACAUCCAUGUGGGAAAACUGUAAAGCAAUAUACUUGUGUUGUUUUUAGCCAACAAGCUGUUAUAUAUAAUAAGCAAGAGACAACUAAUACAGGGAUUAACAGGAGAAAUUGAAAAUUGGUUAUUUGAUGAUAACAAAAUUUUUAUUUUAGGUGUGAUAAUUGAAUUAUGGUUAGGUUUUUAAAAAGAGUGUUCUUUUAGGGAUGAUAUUGAAAUAUUAUCAAUGACGUGAUAGAUGUUGCAUUUGCUUCAGAAUGGUUCAGAAAUGGCAGGGGAAUGAAUGGCAUAUAAAUGAAAUGUAUCAGUUACAGACUGAUAAAUUGUUAACGUUUGGUUCUUUUUCUUUAUUAAAUUUUACUGUUUUUUAAAGUAAUUGUUUCCUUAGCAUCCUCUAAAGAUGAUUAAUGCUAUUUUUUUUCUAAUUUCAGAAAUCAUUGUGAGCUCAUGGGGUUAAACAUAUUUGAAGUAUUGUAGUCCAUGGUUAUUAUCUUUAUUAAUGCUCAAACUGUCUCAUCUACUUCUUUGAAGUCCCUUUGAUACCACUCUGGUAGUCUUUGAUAGCUUCCUUCCUUGCUAAUAUGAGAAGAUAUUCUAGACUUCCCUUGUUUAUUUUCUGCCCCAAUUCUAUACUUAGCAGUUUUUUUUAAGGAGUCUGGUUCCUUUUAGCGGGAAGAUGAUAAUUUUGGUACUGGAGUCAUUGAUUCUCUAAACAAAGAUAUAUUAAGCAAUAUGCCAGGGACUGUUCUAGAUGCUAGAGGUGUUUCAAUGAAUAAAAUAGUGUCCCUGGCCUUAAGGUCUGAAGAGACAGAAAA
Long non-coding RNA from Lynx canadensis (Canada lynx), 889 nucleotides. RefSeq lists it as uncharacterized. The record is from RefSeq and is a predicted model, not a curated record. The transcript has 2 exons. NCBI's taxonomy places the organism in Eukaryota, Metazoa, Chordata, Mammalia, Carnivora, Felidae.